UUUUUUCUUCAUUAUUUCCUAUUUUACAAAUAUUUUGUGUCCUUUCAUUUCUUUUAUCUCCACUAUAAACACACAAUAGUACAAUAAUAUAAUUAACUCCUUAUUUUUCAACUUACAUAACCUACCCCUCUCUAUCAAACACAAAUGGAAUCUCAUUUCUUAGAGCACUAAUUCUCUUUCUUUUCUUUCUUCUCCACUAUAAAUAUAACCUAUUACAAUAUCACAACUCAAUCAAACACAAAUGUAAUCUCACUUCUUUAGAUCAUUCAUUCUCUAUUUAUUUUUUUCAAACUAAUUCUCAGUCUCUUUGCAUUCCUCCAAAAAAAACACACCUCUAAAUACAAGGAAUCCCUGACUUGGCUUCACCUCAACAAGUCAGCUCUCUUUAGUUCAGUUUGACACACUCCUAUGAUAAUCGUAAGCCAUUACCCAUCACCACCCCCAAAUACUCCGAACACACUAAACAAACCUAACACACUCAUUAAAUGAGAAGAUAGUACAUGAGAGGCUUUACCACCUAUCAAGUACAUUGAGAUUUCAUCAUCAUCUUCAUCUUAUUCAUUUUCAUCAUCCUCGAUGUUAAGUAGGAACUCUAACUCUAUAAAUUUGGGUGCCUUCUUUUUCAUUGAAAACACUCUGACCAAUGAUAAAGAAAAUGAGAAAUGGGUCAUUACCUCUUUGAGUUAAAUGAAACAAAUUUGGAUUUUCAGCUUGGUAUCUUAAAACAUAACUACCUUGAUGAUUAGACUGUGUUUGUGGUGUCUAUUUAGAUAGUUUUUUACUUUGGCAAGUUUUAUAUUUUUCCCAGUUGGUACUUUUUGUUGUAAUGAAGUUUAAAAUAAAAGAACAAUUCUUCCAUUUUAUGUUUAUCAUUGCUUUUGUUGAUUUUAUUUGAUAAAGUUUCAAUUUUUUACAAACCUGUUUUCAUCUUGUCGUCUUCUAAUUCUUUUUUUUGUCUUUGAUAAAAGGGAAGAAAGUAUAACAAUAAUAUGUAUGCAGAGAGAUAAGUAACAAGCUAUAAAAAUGUGUGAUUGUCUAUUAUAGUCAAUACCUAGGA
Molecule: long non-coding RNA, 1057 nt
Filed under: Lathyrus oleraceus (garden pea)
Lineage: Eukaryota; Viridiplantae; Streptophyta; Magnoliopsida; Fabales; Fabaceae
Description: Pisum sativum (pea) long non-coding RNA (PSAT_LNC004956)
Source: RNAcentral